GGGGGCUGUGGGGGUGGUCCAGUAGGUGGAAUCCGGCGGCCGGUGCUCUCCCUUGGGCACUGGGAAGUAUGGCGGUGCGAGGAUAGUCAGUGAUUUGAUGGCAUCUGGAUACUUGACUGCUAGGGCAAGGGCGAGGAUCGAUCCCAAAGAAUGAGCCACAAUGUGGAAUGACUUCACCUUGUAGGGCUCCAACACAGACCGCUCGAUCAUCUCG
This 214-nucleotide unclassified non-coding RNA is filed under the name Hevea brasiliensis (rubber tree). The record is from RNAcentral. Lineage: Eukaryota; Viridiplantae; Streptophyta; Magnoliopsida; Malpighiales; Euphorbiaceae.